RNAcentral lists this transfer RNA (73 nucleotides) under Stegodyphus mimosarum. It matches the Rfam family "tRNA". Rfam says of the family: Transfer RNA (tRNA) molecules are approximately 80 nucleotides in length. Their secondary structure includes four short double-helical elements and three loops (D, anti-codon, and T loops). Lineage: Eukaryota; Metazoa; Arthropoda; Arachnida; Araneae; Eresidae. The record is from Rfam by way of RNAcentral.
GCCUUUGUGGUGUAAUUGGAAGCAUAUUCCACUCGUAUUCGAGAGCUUUAGGGUUCGAGUCCCGGCGAGGGCA